GUGCUUACUUUGUCAGCAUGUGUAGUAAAAUUGGAAUGAUUAGCAUGACCCCUGAACACGGAUGACACACAAAUUCACGAAGCAUUUCAUAUUUUU
Otolemur garnettii (small-eared galago) is the source of this 96-nucleotide small nuclear RNA. The record is from Ensembl. Lineage: Eukaryota; Metazoa; Chordata; Mammalia; Primates; Galagidae.